GAUGAACGCUAGCUACAGGCUUAACACAUGCAAGUCGAGGGGCAGCGGUAUCGAAAGCUUGCUUUCGGUAGCCGGCGACCGGCGCACGGGUGAGUAACGCGUAUCGAGCCUGCCUCAUACUCGGGAAUAGCCUUGCGAAAGUAAGAUUAAUGCCCGGUGUUUUCAGAGUCCCGCAUGAGGCUUUGAACAAAGAUUUAUCGGUAUGAGAUGGCGAUGCGUCCCAUUAGCUUGUUGGCGGGGUAACGGCCCACCAAGGCAUCGAUGGGUAGGGGUUCUGAGAGGAAGGUCCCCCACAUUGGAACUGAGACACGGUCCAAACUCCUACGGGAGGCAGCAGUGAGGAAUAUUGGUCAAUGGGCGGAAGCCUGAACCAGCCAAGUAGCGUGCAGGAAGACGGCCCUCCGGGUUGUAAACUGCUUUUAGUUGGGAAUAAAACGGGGCUCGUGAGCCCCCUUGCAUGUACCAUCAGAAAAAGGACCGGCUAAUUCCGUG
Molecule: ribosomal RNA, 492 nt
Filed under: uncultured bacterium
Lineage: Bacteria
Description: partial 16S ribosomal RNA
Rfam family: Bacterial small subunit ribosomal RNA
Source: RNAcentral